Non-coding RNA from Gossypium hirsutum (cotton), 107 nucleotides. Lineage: Eukaryota; Viridiplantae; Streptophyta; Magnoliopsida; Malvales; Malvaceae. The record is from Rfam.
AAUCCAUGUAUCAGACACUUUCGAAUUAAGUCUUUCAAUCGUUCCCAAGCUUCAUAUAGUGUUUCAUCCUCUGACUAACGAAAAGAUGUGAUGCCAUUUCUAAGCUU